Molecule: ribosomal RNA, 497 nt
Filed under: uncultured bacterium
Lineage: Bacteria
Description: partial 16S ribosomal RNA
Rfam family: Bacterial small subunit ribosomal RNA
Source: RNAcentral
GACGAACGCUGGCGGCGUGCCUAAUACAUGCAAGUUGAGCGCUGAAGGUUGGUACUUGUACCUACUGGAUGAGCAGCGAACGGGUGAGUAACGCGUGGGGAAUCUGCCUUUGAGCGGGGGACAACAUUUGGAAACGAAUGCUAAUACCGCAUAAAAACUUUAAACACAAGUUUUAAGUUUGAAAGAUGCAAUUGCAUCACUCAAAGAUGAUCUCGCGUUGUAUUAGCUAGUUGGUGAGGUAAAGGCUCACCAAGGCGAUGAUACAUAGCCGACCUGAGAGGGUGAGCGGCCACAUUGGGACUGAGACACGGCCCAAACUCCUACGGGAGGCAGCAGUAGGGAAUCUUCGGCAAUGGACGAAAGUCUGACCGAGCAACGCCGCGUGAGUGAAGAAGGUUUUCGGAUCGUAAAACUCUGUUGGUAGAGAAGAACGUUGGUGAGAGUGGAAAGCUCAUCAAGUGACGGUAACUACCCAGAAAGGGACGGCUAACUACGUG